This 45-nucleotide non-coding RNA is filed under the name Trichobilharzia regenti. Lineage: Eukaryota; Metazoa; Platyhelminthes; Trematoda; Strigeidida; Schistosomatidae. The record is from RNAcentral.
AUCCAGUUGACGAGUCCAAAAUAGGAGAAAAUGCACAUCUUAGAU